GAUGAACGCUAGCGACAGGCUUAACACAUGCAAGUCGAGGGGCAGCGGUGGAGAGAGCUUGCUCUCUUCAGCCGGCGACCGGCGCACGGGUGAGUAACACGUAUGCAACCUGCCCUUGACACUGGGAUAACCCGGAGAAAUCCGGACUAAUACCGGGCGAUACCUCUGGAGGACAUCCUCCGGAGGUCGAAGGAAGCGAUUCCGGUCAAGGAUGGGCAUGCGGCGCAUUAGCUGGUUGGCGGGGUAACGGCCCACCAAGGCGACGAUGCGUAGGGGUUCUGAGAGGAAGGUCCCCCACAUUGGUACUGAGACACGGACCAAACUCCUACGGGAGGCAGCAGUGAGGAAUAUUGGUCAAUGGGCGCGAGCCUGAACCAGCCAAGUCGCGUGAGGGAAGACGGCCCUACGGGUUGUAAACCUCUUUUGUCGGGGAGCAAGGACUGCC
Molecule: ribosomal RNA, 445 nt
Filed under: uncultured bacterium
Lineage: Bacteria
Description: bacterial SSU rRNA
Rfam family: Bacterial small subunit ribosomal RNA
Source: RNAcentral